This 344-nucleotide ribosomal RNA is filed under the name uncultured bacterium. RNAcentral's name for it is "partial 16S ribosomal RNA". It matches the Rfam family "Bacterial small subunit ribosomal RNA", at positions 338 to 699 of the family's 1533-position model. The record is from RNAcentral.
CCUACGGGCGGCAGCAGUAGGGAAUAUUGCUCAAUGGAGGAAACCCUGAAGCAGCAACGCCGCGUGGAGGAUGAAGGUUUUCGGAUUGUAAAAUCCUUUUGUUAGAGAAGAUAAUGAAGAUAUGUAACGCAUAAGCACAGGCUAACACCGUGCCAGCAGCCGCGGUAAUACGGAGGGUGCAAGGGUUACUCGGAAUAACUGGGCGUAAAGAGCGCGUAGGCGGGCUAGAAAGUGAGAUGUGAAAGCCUGUUGCUAAACCAUAGAACUGCAUUUGAAACUGUUAUUCUAGAGUAUGGGUGAGGUAGGCGGAAUGCGUGGUGUAGGGGUAAAAUGCGUAGAUAUCA